Molecule: non-coding RNA, 2016 nt
Organism: Arachis ipaensis
Lineage: Eukaryota; Viridiplantae; Streptophyta; Magnoliopsida; Fabales; Fabaceae
Source: RefSeq, a predicted model, not a curated record
UAAGAAAAAGCCCUAACCCUAAACGGCUACCCUAAUUCCCAAUACCCUUCCCCUGACCCUGGACCUAGGCUGGAGCUCUCCAAGCCUUUCUUCCUCACCUCAUCACACCAACAAUUUCGAGUCUCUUCUUCCCCUCAUCACACCAACACUCUCUUCCUCGCAGUCCCUCUCAGUUUCGAAGACUCUCUUCCUCUGCUUCGUCUCCGUCGCGUCUCCUCCGUCGCUGCUGCGGUGCUGCCCUCCGUCGCUGCUGCGGUGCUGCCUCUCCGUCGCCAGAUCUGCCUCAUCCAAAUUACUCUCUUGUUUCAAACAUGGUAUCAAGAGCAUAGGUUUUUUUUUCCAAUGAAAAUUCGGUCAUAGCCCCUUGUUUUUUUCCUCUUCCGGCAGUGUUUUUUGGCCUCAUUUUUCGAUCCUUUCCCGACGCUUUGGUUUGUCACCGCCCCUACCACCGUCUUCUUCUCGUCGUUGCGAGUUCAACGAAACCAGCCUCGUCGUCGGAAACCACCGCACGCGCCGCCACGCGCCGUCUGAAGGUCGUCGUCCGUUUUGCUUCUUUUCCUUCUUCCAGACGCUUCCAGGACCGUCCGAUCUCAACAUCAACGCCCAGGAUUGACCCACGUGUCGCGAAGCCACGCCCCCAGGAUCAGCGCCCACCCAGCACCGUUCGAUCUUUAGCCACGAUCCACCGGUCUAGCGAGCGCCACGUGUCGCGAAGUCAGCGCCUCUAGCAACCCGCGCUCGCACCCGACCCGACCCGUCUCACGACCCGCGCACCACCCUCGCUGACUCAGCGCUGACGAGGCUUCUCUUCUCCACUCAGACGUCGCCACGUGUCACCUUCUUGCUGACGUGGCUGCUAACAUGGAAUCUGACGUGGCAGCUGACGUGUCAUACAGUGGGGCCCUCCCUAAGGUUUUUUGGUGAGCUCUUUUCGAUUUUGCCGUCUAUUUUCUCGUUUUCUGCUCCAAAACUGUAAUUUUCUCUCCUCUCUUUGAUCUCUAUGUCUACUAUUAUGGAAAAGUCAGAUAUCUUUGCUGCCACAGACAGAAAGGAUAAAUUCUGUUGAAAUUGUAACCGCUAUGGGCACCUCUUCUCUGAUUGUCCUUCUGUUGAAUGUCGCACAUGCCACAAGAAAGGUCACAUUAGUUACCAUUGUUCACAGCUGUUUUGUCAUUAUUGCAAGCUCUCGGGACAUUUGAUUACUGUCUGUCCUACUCGCCCACCACGUCCUCAUCAUCUCACGCAUGCUUGUCAUCCCAACUUCUCCAAGAAUGUGUCUGCUUCUACUAUUGCUGCUACUACUGAAUCUACCACCUCUGCUCCUCUCAACCCAUCUCAUGUCUCUCUCUGAUAUUACGUCUCUCCUUAAGCAUAUUCUCUCCCAUUCUGGAUCGUCAGACGGGAUAAAUCAUCGGGACUGGACGUAAGGUUGGAAGGUUGUUUGAACUCGAGAAUCUUCAUAUUCCUCCUGUGCAAAAUCUCUGUGCUACUUCUUCUCCUUCUACUCUUCACUUAUGGCAUCAACGUCUUGCCCACACCUCCUUGGGAAAGAUGCGUCCUCUUGUGUCUCAGGGUGUUUUGGGUCAGGUUAAUCAUGAGUUUUUUUAUUGUAUUUCUUGUCAAACUGCUAAACAACCCGCUUUACUUGAUGAUUAUUCUCGUUUUACUUGGGUUUAUUUGAUGACCAAUCGCCAUGAGUUACCUCAAAUUUAUAUUAACUUUGCCACUAUGAUUAAAACUCAAUUUUCCAAGGUCAUUAAGGUUUUUCGCCGCGAUAAUGCUAUAGAAUACUGUGAUUCCAAACUCUUAACCUUUCUUGCAGAAUAGGGUACCUUGUUUGAGUUUUCUUGCCCUGGUACGUCUCAACAAAAUGGCCGAGCUUAACGCAAACACCAUCAAAUUCUUGACUCUGUUCGUGCAAUGCUUCUUUCUUCUUCGUGUCCUGAGCGUACUUGGGGUGAAGCUGUUCUCAUUGCUAUCCAUGUUAUCAAUAGACUCCCUUCUUCUGUUCUUGGU